This 207-nucleotide ribosomal RNA is filed under the name Cladosporium cladosporioides. Its description in RNAcentral is "partial small subunit ribosomal RNA". It matches the Rfam family "Eukaryotic small subunit ribosomal RNA", at positions 1334 to 1563 of the family's 1831-position model. The record is from RNAcentral. Lineage: Eukaryota; Fungi; Ascomycota; Dothideomycetes; Cladosporiales; Cladosporiaceae.
AACGAGACCUUAACCUGCUAAAUAGCCAGGCCCGCUUUGGCGGGUCGCCGGCUUCUUAGAGGGACUAUCGGCUCAAGCCGAUGGAAGUUUGAGGCAAUAACAGGUCUGUGAUGCCCUUAGAUGUUCUGGGCCGCACGCGCGCUACACUGACAGAGCCAACGAGUUCAUUUCCUUAGCCGAAAGGUUUGGGUAAUCUUGUGAAACUCU